This 1978-nucleotide long non-coding RNA is filed under the name Amborella trichopoda. Its description in RNAcentral is "long non-coding RNA (ATRI_LNC001606)". Lineage: Eukaryota; Viridiplantae; Streptophyta; Magnoliopsida; Amborellales; Amborellaceae. The record is from RNAcentral.
UAAAUCUUAUUAAUUCGACUUCCGCCCUUUGUUUCUCUCAAAUCAGAUCCGAAAAUCCCGAAUCAGAUCUGCUGACUUCAUAUAUUUUUCUUCAUCUUGAUGUUCUCCCACAAACUCUUUUGAUCUUCUCAUUCAUCCCUCAUAUUUCUCCCUUCUAUCAUUUCCUCACUCUCUUCUUUUGGAGUUUGUUACCUUCCAUGGGGGGGAACUAUUCCAUUACUUACCGAAAGACCUAAUCCUUUGAAAGCCCUAAUUCUUGAAACCUCGAUUCCGUUCUAGAAGCCUGAAGUCCUAAUUCGUCAUAAAUUUGAAUUCAAAUCUAAGCUUCCUUACUGUUUAUGUUUUCUAAAAUUCAAAGAUUUUUCUCCUUUUGCCUCAAAUAUGGCUUCCUCAUCUUACAAAUUUUUCCAUGUCCCCCGAUAUGCUCCCACAUAUGGUCUCUAUUAAAUUGGACUCUACCAACUUCAUGAGCUGGAAUAGUCAAAUUUUUUCAUUCCUACAUGGGCUAAGACUGAUGGGACAUCGUGAUGGAACCUUAUCUUCUCAUCUACCACAUUGAAAAAGAGAUUGUUGUUAAAAAUGACAAAAAGGAGAUGAAACAGAUGCAUAUUCCUGCCAACUCCAACAGUGUAAGUGAGAGAAUAUUACCUCCGGCAACCCCAACGAGUUUUGUCGUUAGGUAAGUCUUGUCAAAGCCCAAGUUGAAGAAGUAUGUGAUGUGAUGCGUGGGAGUGCGAGAAAACUACAGGUAAAAAAAAGGUGAGAGGACUUUGUUAUCAACUAGUUGUAAAUGGCCAUGAGAUUUGCGAUAAUGAUAAAGUACUCAACCUGCUUGGAGGAUUUGGUGAUGAAUUUGACAUAUUUGUCACAUUGGCCAUGUCUAGACCACCCACACCUAGUUUCAAUGAGCUCUGAAUUCUAUUAUUGCAGCAUGAAGCCUUACGCAAGCAAAAUCAGUUGAAGCUGAAGAAGAGAAUCAUGACGUCUUAAAUGUCAUUUCUUAAAUCUCUAAUUUCUACUAGAGGCUGUGGAAGAGGAAAAAAUAACCGCGGUUGUGGACAGGGUCAGUUCUAUACCCCUUACUGACAUUAUAGAAAUCAAUUAUAUGCUGGUUAUAACAAUCAACAACGAGGUCAUAAUCCCCAGGGAAUUUUGCCACUAUCCUCUUAGCAUGCCAGUGCCAACCAGUCCACUAUAUGUCAGCUUUGUGGAAACAAAUGAACCACAACCUCCCAGUGUUUCCCAUCAUGAUCUUGUGUUUUAAUAUAUUCUUACUGGCUUGACGCAUUCAAUUUCCAAUCUGAGCAUAUCAUAACCCCAACCCAUUUUCACAUCUUGGAUUAUGAAUAUUGGGGAUGACAGGUAUGUGGCAUCUGAUGCAUGUAUGUUUUCUUUCUUGGUUCUGUAUGUUGGUAAAGGGAAAGUCAUUACAGGGGAUGACACUACACCUCUCAUCAUUGGAGUUGGAACUGCCAUUCUCUUCUCAUAUUUGGGUUUCUUUUCUUUGCUUAAUUCCUUUUUAGUUUCAAAAGUUAAGUGGAAUGUUAUUUCAAGUCGCAACUAGUUGAUGGUUUGAAGUGCUUAAGAUCUAGUCUUGACUUGUGUUCGUGAAGGAUCUUGCCACAAAGAAAUCAGUAAGAAAGAAAGCCAAACACAAGCAUAAGUCAGAAACUUAGGGUUUCUUUCCAUUCCCCAAAGUAGGGUUCCAAAAGCUUAUGCUUUUCUUUAUUUCAAUUUCUAAAAAUGUCGAAAUUGACUCUCUCAACGCCCCACACCUCAUAUAUUGUAGCCCCACACCUCAUAUAUUGUAGUUCAAUUUUCAAAGACAUUACCUGUCCAUAUAAUGAUUAAAAUGACCUAUAUAGGCUAACUUAAACUUAAAUUUUGUAAUGACAGUUUUACCCCUAUGAACAGUACCUGUGAACAAUACUUUUGAAUAGUACUUAUGAAGUAAAUAAAAAACUAAAAAUCCUAGAUC